GCAAUGCCGCGUGAGUGAAGAAGGCCUUCGGGUUGUAAAGCUCUUUUGUCAGGGAAGAAACGGUGCGGGCUAAUAUCCUGCACUAAUGACGGUACCUGAAGAAUAAGCACCGGCUAACUACGUGCCAGCAGCCGCGGUAAUACGUAGGGUGCAAGCGUUAAUCGGAAUUACUGGGCGUAAAGCGUGCGCAGGCGGUUUUGUAAGUCUGAUGUGAAAUCCCCGGGCUCAACCUGGGAAUUGCAUUGGAGACUGCAAGGCUAGAAUCUGGCAGAGGGGGGUAGAAUUCCACGUGUAGCAGUGAAAUGCGUAGAGAUGUGGAGGAACACCGAUGGCGAAGGCAGCCCCCUGGGUCAAGAUUGACGCUCAUGCACGAAAGCGUGGGGAGCAAACAGGAUUAGAUACCCUGGUAGUCCACGCCCUAAACGAUGUCUACUAGUUGUCGGGUUUUAAUUAACUUGGUAACGCAGCUAACGCGUGAAG
This 480-nucleotide ribosomal RNA is filed under the name uncultured bacterium. RNAcentral's name for it is "bacterial SSU rRNA". It matches the Rfam family "Bacterial small subunit ribosomal RNA", at positions 391 to 864 of the family's 1533-position model. The record is from RNAcentral.